This 20-nucleotide transfer RNA is filed under the name Equus caballus (horse). RNAcentral describes it as "partial tRNA-Asp". Lineage: Eukaryota; Metazoa; Chordata; Mammalia; Perissodactyla; Equidae. The record is from RNAcentral.
GAGGUAUUAGUAAAAAUUAC